UACGGGGGGUGCGAGCGUUGUCCGGAAUCACUGGGCGUAAAGGGCGCGUAGGUGGUCUGAUAAGGGUGUGGUGAAAGUCCGGGGCUCGACCCCGGAUCUGCCAUGCCGACUGUCAGACUCGAGGACUGUAGAGGCAGGCGGAAUUCCGAGUGUAGCGGUGGAAUGCGUAGAGAUCCGGAGGAAGACCGGUGGCGAAGGCGGCCUGCUGGGCAGUUUCUGACACUGAGGCGCGACAGCGUGGGGGAGCAAACAGG
RNAcentral lists this ribosomal RNA (254 nucleotides) under uncultured bacterium. RNAcentral's name for it is "partial 16S ribosomal RNA". It matches the Rfam family "Bacterial small subunit ribosomal RNA", at positions 524 to 776 of the family's 1533-position model. The record is from RNAcentral.